GAGGCCCCAGAGAGAUUCCAAAGGCCUGAGGACUUGGCACAAAAUGACAACACUAAUUUCCUGAAUGCUUGUGUCAGCUUUUUGGUGACAAGAAAGGAUGAGUAAGACACUAUUAUGGUUUAAAGUACAGCGAGAGAAUAGUAAAUUUACGAAGGCAGAAGUGAAAAGUAGAAAGCGAAGAUGAUAUAGGAAUUUACCAGCUAGACAGAAGAGACAGGGAAAGAAACUGGCGUUGAUCAUACUGAACGCCAUCAUGAAGGAGGUUUGAGAUACUGCUUUUUCCUCUCUGUGAAGUCCUGAGUCCAUGGAAAGGCCGAGGGGAGAAACAUCGGCAGCAACAUGGCAGCUCUAUUAGUGAUGGAAACUGGAUUGGGAAAUGCGAUAUCACAUCUGUCACCUAGAGGUUUUGGCAACAAUAUUUCGGCCUAGAAUUCAGCCCAGCACAUUCAGUGUACUGUGCUUACCCAGCCUCUGGCAGAGUGGG
This is a long non-coding RNA of Homo sapiens (human), 484 nucleotides long. Ensembl annotates it as prostate cancer associated transcript 1. Its record names the gene PCAT1. The record is from Ensembl. NCBI's taxonomy places the organism in Eukaryota, Metazoa, Chordata, Mammalia, Primates, Hominidae.